Molecule: RNA transcript, 3217 nt
Organism: Zea mays
Lineage: Eukaryota; Viridiplantae; Streptophyta; Magnoliopsida; Poales; Poaceae
Gene name: sirohydrochlorin ferrochelatase, chloroplastic
Exons: 10
Source: RefSeq, a predicted model, not a curated record
AACGUUUCACGUGAGCAAACCUGGGCGUAUUCCUCUCUCUUUCCUCAUCCUCAUCCGAGUGGCUCUCUCCUUGUGCUGUGGCGGCGGCGGCGCCCGGCUCUGCUCGGACGGACUCCACCGAAGGCGCUCGGCUCCCCUCGGGCUGCACCUGCGACGGCCGGCCCUCUGACUGCACCGACGGUGCCCGCCCCCCCUCGGCAUCCACCAGCGGUGCCCGGCUCCAAGUCCCCGCCGCCACUCCGACCGUCCUCUAGCAGCUCCGUCCGGUGGUCCGGCCAGCUGCCUAGCUCCCUCCGACCGUCCGGCCAGCACCGCCUCCUGCUCGCGGUCUCGCCCAGCUCCUCCGCCCUCCGCUGAGACGCAGAUCUUGGUGCGGCAGGGCACCACAGAGGCUGUGCGUGUGUUGGUGGCCUGGUGCUAGCAACCGAGAGCCAGUGUCCAGCCUGCCAGCUCAGCCCGGCGCCAACCGCCCAGCGGCUGGCUCGGGCAGCGGCCAGUGGCCAACAGCCGACAACCAUACCUCGUUUCGUCGGCGUCCUCCGCCACUGCCCCCAACUAUGCACCCUGUUCCAGUCCCCUCCCAGCCCUUUACCGCAACUCCUGCAAAAAAACUUGUUUCAAGGAGCACUGCUGUGAGGAAGGCCAUCCAUUUUGUCAACCUGCGGACAGCUGGAAGGUCUAGUGGAAACCUGGCUAUGAACUCCGUACCGAAACCAGCACUUGGGUCCGAAACAUCUUGGAGGGAGGAUUUUGCUGUGGGGGAUAAGGAUGCUGUGGUCAUUGUUGAUCAUGGGUCAAGACGCCAAGAAUCCAAUCUCAUGCUAAAUGACUUUGUUGAGAUGUUCCGGGCGAAGACUAGCUAUAGUAUUGUUGAGGCUGCUCAUAUGGAGCUAGCGGAGCCUACUAUAAAGGAUGCUUUUGGAAAAUGUGUGCAACAAGGAGCAUCACGAGUUAUUGUCAGUCCAUAUUUCCUUUCCCCUGGACGACACUGGAAGCAAGUAUGUUUUUUCCUUUUUUUGUUUUUAUGUAAUGUUAGAGUAUAUUAACCAUGUUAGAGUUAGAGUAUAUUAGGCAACUCUUGAUAUGGUUGAUUUAGGAUUGAUUGUAAUCCCGAGAUAACCUUCCUUCUAUCUAGGAUAACCUUCCUUAUCUUUAGGAUAGACUUCUUGCCCUCUAAGUCAUGUACUCCUAUAUAUUCUCCCUAGAGGCUUAAUGCAAUAUAAUCCCAGUAUCCCACCAUCACACACAAUAUACUCAAUCUCUCCUUCCUACAUGGUAUCACAAGUUUAGGUUACGCCCUAGCCUCCCUUCUGCUGUCGCCGCCGCGCCGCCCAUGGGGAGAUCGAUCUACCGCGGGGGCAGCGUCCUCGUAGGACGCGUCGCGGAUCCAUCUGAUCUACCGUGUUCAUUGUCGCAUUGUCAAGCACAACACCAGAUUGGAACUCACCAUCAAGGCCCCGUCGGCGACCUCUAUCCACCUUCCCAUCGACUACCCCAACCGGAUCUGGCCCAUUGCACGUCGUCUUGGUGGCGGUUGUGAUGGGGUUGUAUCCCCGCCGCCGGCAACAUCGCACACCGCCAUGGAGGCGGAUGCGACCUCGGCUGCUGGCCGGACCGUGGCUGGGCAGUCCUUGGGACCAGCACGUUGUGGGGAGGACGGGCCGGGUCUCGCUCCGCCCCGGUUUCGCGCCGCCCUUCUUCUCCCCGCACUGGUGGCCACCCCUCCACUAGGGUACCCCGGUGAUGUACCAGAUCCGUUGCUCCUGCGUCUUUUUGUUUUCCCAGUCAGUGAUCGGGUUUGCGUCUCCAUCGCCCGUCGGCUCGCGCGUCAGCGACAUUGACCUCGACAACACUGGCUCCAUCUUCUCCGACUGUGCUGCAUGAUCGGGUUUGCAUUGACUUCAUCCUCUACGACUACCUCGACUGCGUCGCUGUCUUCGUCUAUGGCGCCCUCCUGUGCCACCAUCAACCCGGCGCCUCCUGGUGUGCCGCAGGGGCUCAAUGCAAUAUCAUCCCACCAUCAUGCACAAUAUACACAAUCUCUCCUUCCUACAUGACAUUCCUGCUUUAGCAGCAGAGGCAUCAAAGGAGCACUCAAAUAUACCCUAUAUUGUCACUGCCCCUCUUGGGCUGCAUGAGCUUAUGGUGGAUAUCAUGAAUGAUCGCAUCAAGUACUGCCUGCGACAUGUUGCGGGUGAUGUCGAUGAGUGUACAGUGUGUGCUGGAACCGGAAAGUGCCGCCUGUACUCCUGAUGGAGCAUACCUGGGAGGCACAUCGAUACUGUUACCAUUUAUUAUGAGAUCUGGAGAAUACGAGAUCUGACCAUAUUCUGAGCAGAUCGUCAGAAUUAGACAAGUGCCAAAUUAGUUAUGCUGUGCAUGCUUGCGAACAUCAAUAAUGGUAGAGAUUCAUUAGCUAAUCUUGAGUUUAUUUACAUAACGAACAAACUCAGUCAAGUGCUCUGAUAUUUCCAUUCACAUGUAAUCUAUAUUCCUGCUACCUUGUAGUUGAAUGAAUUAACAUGGAUCAAAUGAUAAUAUAAUGUGCGCUUGUUUGAUUUGCCAGUUUUUUGUUUACAUUUUUCAUCCUUAAAAUACUGACACGAGUGAUGCUCCUCUCAUUCAUCUAAUCGUCUUUCCGACACUGACAUAAGUGUAUCUGUUUAGAACAGUUCUAUCUCUAUAAAAAAGUAAAUCUGAAUCUAGAUAUCACUGCAGAGUAACUACAUCUCCUACAGUUGCCAUCUCUAGUUUUUAAAUUCUGUUACCAUUUCGUGUGAACACUGCAAUGUUUAUCUUAUGUUAUCUUACAGGUAUGUGAGCUUUCUAGUUGACAGUAUAUGCAUAGAGAGGGCCUGUCAAGAUGCGGUGCAGGCACCGGGUGUCCAAGGAGGAAAUAUACUACAAGAUAAGAUAGUAAAAACUAUACAAAGGGUGAAAAGCCAGGUUCACUGGCUAAGAUCGGUGAUCCUGAAGUAAAAUUAUUUAUAGAGAAAUGUAUUGCUAAAGCCCACCAGGAGGUAGUGAGCUGCUGCUUUGCACAGAUCAAUUAGUGCCUAUUUAUGAUUCACAAAUAGUGUCUGUUGUUUACCAAGAAUGCCUUAUCAAUGUCAACUCUCCAUUGGUGUUUCCCACAAAGUAAUCUUCUCGUGAUGAUGCUACUGCUUACCAAACUCAGUGCAGAUGCAGCUCAAUGCUACAAUGAGAAAUCCAUUCA